UCGUCUUUAAUUUUGCAUUUUUAAAUUGAUAUUUUUGUGUAAAUAAAAGAAAAUAAGAAAAUGAAAGUGAAGGUAUCUAUUAAAGUGGCAUGCCUUUCCUUUUAAAAAGGAAGAAAAAUGAAAUAGUGGCAUGUUUCUUUGCAUAGAAUUGUCAUGCUGUCAGAGGACCAUGUAACAUACGGAUGAGAAUAUUUGAUUUUGCCUAAAUCGCAUCGUGCUCAACUUGCCAAUCAUACAUAUUUGAUUUUUUAUAAUAAAAUUAAAUUUGUU
RNAcentral lists this long non-coding RNA (270 nucleotides) under Daucus carota (carrot). Its description in RNAcentral is "long non-coding RNA (DCAR_LNC001562)". Lineage: Eukaryota; Viridiplantae; Streptophyta; Magnoliopsida; Apiales; Apiaceae. The record is from RNAcentral.